Molecule: ribosomal RNA, 446 nt
Filed under: uncultured bacterium
Lineage: Bacteria
Description: bacterial SSU rRNA
Rfam family: Bacterial small subunit ribosomal RNA
Source: RNAcentral
GGUCCAGACUCCUACGGGAGGCAGCAGUGGGGAAUAUUGCACAAUGGGGGGAACCCUGAUGCAGCGACGCCGCGUGGGUGAAGGAGCACCUCGGUGCGUAAAGCCCUAUCGGCAGGGAAGAAACAGACGGUACCUGACUAAGAAGCCCCGGCUAACUACGUGCCAGCAGCCGCGGGAAUACGGAGGAUGCGAGCGUUAUCCGGGUUUAUUGGGUUUAAAGGGGGCGUAGGCGGACUGUUAAGUCAGCGGUAAAAGCCCGGGGCUCAACCCCGGCGAGCCGUUGAAACUGGCUGUCUUGAGAUGUCGAGAGGUAUGCGGAAUGCGCAGUGUAGCGGUGAAAUGCUUAGAUAUUGCGCAGAACUCCGAUUGCGAAGGCAGCAUACCGGCGGCGAUCUGACGCUGAGGCACGAAAGCGUGGGUAUCGAACAGGAUUAGAUACCCUGGUA